GAUGAAGAACGUAGCGAAAUGCAAUAAGUAAUGUGAAUUGCAGAAUUCAGUGAAUCAUCGAAUCUUUGAACGCACAUUGCGCCCGCCAGUAUUCUGGCGGGCAUGCCUGUUCGAGCGUCAUUACAACCCUCAGGCCCCCGGGCCUGGCGUUGGGGAUCGGCAGAAGCCCCCUGUGGGCACACGCCGUCCCUCAAAUACAGUGGCGGUCCCGCCGCAGCUUCCAUUGCGUAGUAGCUAACACCUCGCAACUGGAGAGCGGCGCGGCCAUGCCGUAAAACACCCAACUUCUGAAUGUUGACCUCGAAUCAGGUAGGAAUACCCGCUGAACUUAAGCAUAUCAAUAAGCGGAGGA
Molecule: unclassified non-coding RNA, 352 nt
Filed under: soil metagenome
Description: partial contains 5.8S ribosomal RNA, internal transcribed spacer 2, and large subunit ribosomal RNA
Rfam family: 5.8S ribosomal RNA (bases 1-120)
Source: RNAcentral